GGCAAGAUGGCCGAGCGGUCUAAGGCGCUAGUUUUAGGCAUUUCCAGUCUUCUGAUUGGAUAAAUCGAUACACUAGUUCGAAAGAGCGUGGGUUCGAAUCCCACUCUUGUCA
Molecule: transfer RNA, 112 nt
Filed under: Penicillium occitanis (nom. inval.)
Lineage: Eukaryota; Fungi; Ascomycota; Eurotiomycetes; Eurotiales; Aspergillaceae
Description: Penicillium occitanis tRNA
Rfam family: tRNA
About the family: Transfer RNA (tRNA) molecules are approximately 80 nucleotides in length. Their secondary structure includes four short double-helical elements and three loops (D, anti-codon, and T loops).
Source: Rfam by way of RNAcentral